Molecule: long non-coding RNA, 2076 nt
Organism: Cyprinus carpio carpio
Lineage: Eukaryota; Metazoa; Chordata; Actinopteri; Cypriniformes; Cyprinidae
Source: Ensembl
CUGCUCUGAAGAUUGAAGCAUGUGUGUUUCAUCUUUAGUCAGAUGUUCAGGCCUGUCUGGCAUUAUUAAAACAACAACCGAAGUCUUAAUCAAUACUCUCUGGAUUUAUAAAAGCAUGUGGAGUGAACCAAAUGAUCUGAGCAUCAGAAAUAAGUUUCAGCUCGUGUCGAAAGCGUCUUGUGGAUGUUGAGCUCUGCUUCAGUCCACACAGGUAAAGCAUCUUCAGUUCAAUCCACUGCCACUGAAUCUGUUUCACAAACUCAAGGCACACUGACAUUGACGGCUACUGUAAAUAUUCUACAAGAAUCAUAUAUUGUAAUAUUUGUUUCAUAAAGACAAUUUUAUGGUGCAAUUUGCCUAAUUUGAUUUAGUUUGAUUCACAUAUCUAAAACAGAAUUAGGUUGUUAAUGCAUUGUGUGUGUGUGUGUGUGUGUGUGUGUGUGUGUGUGUGUGUGUGUGUGUGUGUGUGUGUGUGUGUGUGUGUGUGUGUUUGGUUUGGUUUUCAUCUCUCUGGAUCUACAGUCAGUAGUUUGUGCUAUCAAUGAAUGCAUACUCCCAGAUGUAUGGUUUAUUUAAUCUCUGAGAUGAACAUAACUACCAAAACAUCAGAAUAAACUCAGAGUAAAGGUUACUUGCUUAAAAACCCUUUAGUAAAUCAUAUUUGUGACCCUGGGGUAUAUUUGUAGCAAUAGCCAAAAAUACAUUGUAUGGGUCAAAAUUAUUGAUUUUUAUUUUAUGCAAAAAAUCAUUAGGAUAUUAAGAACAUGUUCCAUGAAGAUAUUUAGUAAAUUUCCUACCGUAAAUAUAUCAAAACUUAAUUUUUGAUUAGUAAUAUGCAUUGCUAAGAACUUCAUCUGAACAACUUUAAAGAUGAUUUUCUCAAUAUUUAGAUUUUUUUGCACCCUCAGAUUCCAGAUUUUCAAAUAGUUGUAUCUCAGCCAAAUAUUGUCCUCAUAACAAACCACACAUCAAUGGAAAGGUUAUUUAUUCAGCUUUCAGACGAUGUAUAAAUCUCAAUUUCAAAAAAUUGACCCUUAUGACUGAUUUUGUGCUCCAGGGUCACAUUUGUUUUUUUGUUUUUUGUUUAUGUUUGUUCUUUAUCAAAAACGAAUGCACAUGAACCAGAUAGCACAUUAAAUUAAUGCAGAAUAUAUUCUAAAUAGACACUUCAAAAUUGUGUUAUUUUAGUGUUAAAUAACAACAAAAACUCAUAAUUAUUCAAAUGCACUUCCUUAAAUGACUCUUUCUGAAUGCACAACCUGCACAACCUGCACAACAUCUGAAAACAGCGUCUUGCUUGUACGAAGAAUACAACGAGCACGUUUGAGGUGGCUGUUGUUUGUUACGGAUGGAGUGUCCAGGAAAGCAGCCCUCUUUAACAUUUCUAUGCAAACUAGAGCUUGAAUAAUGAGAUGUAUUUAUGAAGGCGGGGGUUUGGGAUCGGUGGGGGGAGCCGGGGCCUCCAUUGGUGCAGUGCAGCUGUGAAAAGAGUGGGCUUCUUUUUCCCACGGCCAGCCAGACACAGAACAGCCAGGGUCAUGUCACACCGCUAAUAUAUACGUACAGAGAAAGAAAAAGAACAUAUCGAAGUUGUGCAAAUUAACGAGCUGUCUGACGAGACAGAGAGAGAGACAGACGGAGCUGCAGCUCAUGCAUUGCAUUUCAUUUAAUUUCGUUUGUCUGUUUCUUACAUAACGCUUCACCUUCUCGUUUGAAUUUAUGAGACAUUUUGACAGUUUUCACAUACAAACUCAUUUAUGAAACACAGGUGUUUUUAUUGUAUUGCUAUGUUAUCAUUAAAUUAUCAUUUACUGCUAUCAUUUCAUUAUUUUAUAAAAGCAAUACACCACUAGAAUCUGUGUAUUACAGUGAUUUUAACCAAAGACAAGGGCUAAAAUCAUGGUACAGCCUGUGGCUUAUUGCUUAAUAACUUACAAAAUAUUAUGUAAUAAGACUGAAUCAACAUUAGGUAACACUACAAACCCAAAUCAGGUAGAAAUAGAUAGAAACAGAAAGAAAUGGCUAUAUAUAUUAUUUUAAUUAAUAUUUAAAAUCCAUUUUAAUAUAUUAAAAGCA